This 484-nucleotide ribosomal RNA is filed under the name uncultured bacterium. RNAcentral describes it as "partial 16S ribosomal RNA". It matches the Rfam family "Bacterial small subunit ribosomal RNA", at positions 29 to 507 of the family's 1533-position model. The record is from RNAcentral.
AGUGAACGCUGGCGGCAGGCCUAACACAUGCAAGUCGAGCGGCAGCGCGGGGGCAACCCUGGCGGCGAGCGGCGGACGGGUGAGGAAUUCGUCGGAAUCUGCCUUUUUGUGGGGGAUAACGUAGGGAAACUUACGCUAAUACCGCAUACGUCCUACGGGAGAAAGUGGGGGACCGCAAGGCCUCACGCGGAAAGAUGAGCCGACGACCGAUUAGCUAGUUGGUGGGGUAAAGGCCCACCAAGGCGACGAUCGGUAGCUGGUCUGAGAGGAUGAUCAGCCACACUGGGACUGAGACACGGCCCAGACUCCUACGGGAGGCAGCAGUGGGGAAUAUUGGACAAUGGGCGCAAGCCUGAUCCAGCCAUGCCGCGUGUGUGAAGAAGGCCUUCGGGUUGUAAAGCACUUUUGUCCGGAAAGAAAUCCCUGGAGCUAAUACCUUCGGGGGAUGACGGUACCGGAAGAAUAAGCACCGGCUAACUUCGUG